Regulatory RNA element from Halorientalis sp. IM1011, 71 nucleotides. It matches the Rfam family "S15-Halobacteria ribosomal protein leader". The record is from Rfam. NCBI's taxonomy places the organism in Archaea, Methanobacteriati, Methanobacteriota, Halobacteria, Halobacteriales, Haloarculaceae.
GUGGGAACAGCACGACCGCAAAUCCGACGCGCCGCUACGAUCACUUUCGCGGCUUGGGAUUGCGGUAGUGU